AUUGAACGCUGGCGGCAGGCCUAACACAUGCAAGUCGAGCGGAUGAAGGGAGCUUGCUCCUGGAUUCAGCGGCGGACGGGUGAGUAAUGCCUAGGAAUCUGCCUGGUAGUGGGGGAUAACGUCCGGAAACGGGCGCUAAUACCGCAUACGUCCUGAGGGAGAAAGUGGGGGAUCUUCGGACCUCACGCUAUCAGAUGAGCCUAGGUCGGAUUAGCUAGUUGGUGGGGUAAAGGCCUACCAAGGCGACGAUCCGUAACUGGUCUGAGAGGAUGAUCAGUCACACUGGAACUGAGACACGGUCCAGACUCCUACGGGAGGCAGCAGUGGGGAAUAUUCGACAAUGGGCGAAAGCCUGAUCGAGCCAUGCCGCGUGUGUGAAGAAGGUCUUCGGAUUGUAAAGCACUUUAAGUUGGGAGGAAGGACAGUAAGUUAAUCCCUUGCUGUUUUGACGUUACCAACAGAGUAAGCACCGGCUAACUUCGUG
This 484-nucleotide ribosomal RNA is filed under the name uncultured bacterium. RNAcentral's name for it is "partial 16S ribosomal RNA". It matches the Rfam family "Bacterial small subunit ribosomal RNA", at positions 30 to 507 of the family's 1533-position model. The record is from RNAcentral.